GAUUCCCGGGCCCUACGGGGCGCAGCAGGNCGCGAAACCCUUUACCAAUGCACGCCAGUGCGAUAAGGGGAUCCCGAGUGCACAGGCAUAGAGCCUGUGCUUUUCUGAACCGUAGGGAGGUUCAGGAACAAGAGCUGGGCAAGACCGGUGCCAGCCGCCGCGGUAAUACCGGCAGCUCGAGUGAUGGCCGAUCUUAUUGGGCCUAAAGCGUCCGUAGCUGGCCUUGCAAGUCCGUCGGGAAAUCCACCCGCUCAACGGGUGGGCGUCCGGCGGAAACUGUGAGGCUUGGGACCGGGAGGCUUGAAGGGUACGUCCGGGGUAGGAGUGAAAUCCCGUAAUCCUGGACGGACCGCCGAUGGGGAAACCACUUCAAGAGAACGGAUCCGACAGUGAGGGACGAAAGCUAGGGUCUCGAACCGGAUUAGAUACCCGGGUAGUCCUAGCUGUAAACGAUGCCUGUUAGGUGUGACUCCCACUACGAGUGGGUGUUGUGCCGUAGGGAAGCCGCUAAACAGGCCGCCUGGGAAGUACGUCUGCAAGGAUGAAACUUAAAGGAAUUGGCGGGGGAGCACUACAACCGGAGGAGCCUGCGGUUUAAUUGGACUCAACGCCGGACAUCUCACCAGCAUCGACUGUGGUAAUGACGGUCAGGUUGAUGACCUUACCCGAGCCACAGAGAGGAGGUGCAUGGCCGCCGUCAGCUCGUACCGUGAGGCGUCCUGUUAAGUCAGGCAACGAGCGAGACCCGCAUCCUUACUUGCCAGCAGCACCGCGAGGUGGCUGGGGACAGUAGGGAGACCGCCGUGGCUAACACGGAGGAAGGAACGGGCAACGGUAGGUCAGUAUGCCCCGAAUAUGCUGGGCAACACGCGGGCUACAAUGGCCGAGACAAUGGGUUCCAACGCCGAGAGGCGACGGUAAUCUCAGAAACUCGGUCGUAGUUCGGAUUGUGGACUGAAACUCGUCCACAUGAAGCUGGAUUCGGUAGUAAUCGCGGUCAGAAGC
RNAcentral lists this ribosomal RNA (1005 nucleotides) under uncultured archaeon. Its description in RNAcentral is "bacterial SSU rRNA". It matches the Rfam family "Archaeal small subunit ribosomal RNA", at positions 311 to 1312 of the family's 1478-position model. The record is from RNAcentral.